UUAAGCGACUAAGCGUACACGGUGGAUGCCCUGGCAGUCAGAGGCGAUGAAGGGCGUGCUAAUCUGCGAUAAGCGCCGGUAAGGUGAUAUGAACCGUUAUAACCGGCGAUACCCGAAUGGGGAAACCCAGUGUGACUCGUCACACUAUCAUUAACUGAAUCCAUAGGUUAAUGAGGCGAACCGGGGGAACUGAAACAUCUAAGUACCCCGAGGAAAAGAAAUCAACCGAGAUUCCCCCAGUAGCGGCGAGCGAACGGGGAGGAGCCCAGAGCCUGAAUCAGCAUGUGUGUUAGUGGAAGCGUCUGGAAAGGCGCGCGAUACAGGGUGACAGCCCCGUACACAAAAGCGCAUGUGCUGUGAGCUCGAUGAGUAGGGCGGGACACGUGGUAUCCUGUCUGAAUAUGGGGGGACCAUCCUCCAAGGCUAAAUACUCCUGACUGACCGAUAGUGAACCAGUACCGUGAGGGAAAGGCGAAAAGAACCCCGGCGAGGGGAGUGAAAAAGAACCUGAAACCGUGUACGUACAAGCAGUGGGAGCCCCACCACCAAAGCAUUCUCUGGUGUUGAAGGCCCUGCAAAGCAGCAUCGCGGUGGCGGAGCGUCGUUUGCGACGCCCAACGCACAAAACAAGCGGUGAGUGCUUUGGGGUGGGGUGACUGCGUACCUUUUGUAUAAUGGGUCAGCGACUUAUAUUCUGUAGCAAGGUUAACCGAAUAGGGGAGCCGGAGGGAAACCGAGUCUUAAUUGGGCGUUAAGUUGCAGGGUAUAGACCCGAAACCCGGUGAUCUAGCCAUGGGCAGGUUGAAGGUUGGGUAACACUAACUGGAGGACCGAACCGACUAAUGUUGAAAAAUUAGCGGAUGACCUGUGGCUGGGGGUGAAAGGCCAAUCAAACCGGGAGAUAGCUGGUUCUCCCCGAAAGCUAUUUAGGUAGCGCCUCGUGAAUUCAUCUCCGGGGGUAGAGCACUGUUUCGGCUAGGGGGCCAUCCCGGCUUACCAACCCGAUGCAAACUGCGAAUACCGGAGAAUGUUAUCACGGGAGACACACGGCGGGUGCUAACGUCCGUCGUGAAGAGGGAAACAACCCAGACCGCCAGCUAAGGUCCCAAAGUCAUGGUUAAGUGGGAAACGAUGUGGGAAGGCCCAGACAGCCAGGAUGUUGGCUUAGAAGCAGCCAUCAUUUAAAGAAAGCGUAAUAGCUCACUGGUCGAGUCGGCCUGCGCGGAAGAUGUAACGGGGCUAAACCAUGCACCGAAGCUGCGGCAGCGAACGUAUCACCCAAGACAACUUUACGGAGUUGACGAUUGACGGAGCGAAGCGACGUCAAAGCGUUCAUUAAAGUCGAGUUGGCUUAGGGAUACGUUCGUUGGGUAGGGGAGCGUUCUGUAAGCCUGCGAAGGUGGCCUGUGAGGGUUGCUGGAGGUAUCAGAAGUGCGAAUGCUGACAUAAGUAACGAUAAAGCGGGUGAAAAGCCCGCUCGCCGGAAGACCAAGGGUUCCUGUCCAACGUUAAUCGGGGCAGGGUGAGUCGACCCCUAAGGCGAGGCCGAAAGGCGUAGUCGAUGGGAAACGGGUUAAUAUUCCCGUACUUGGUGUUACUGCGAAGGGGGGACGGAGAAGGCUAUGUUGGCCGGGCGACGGUUGUCCCGGUUUAAGCGUGUAGGUGUGUGUUCCAGGUAAAUCCGGUUCACUUUAACACUGAGGCGUGAUGACGAGGCACUACGGUGCUGAAGCAACAAAUGCCCUGCUUCCAGGAAAAGCCUCUAAGCAUCAGGUAACAUCAAAUCGUACCCCAAACCGACACAGGUGGUCAGGUAGAGAAUACCAAGGCGCUUGAGAGAACUCGGGUGAAGGAACUAGGCAAAAUGGUGCCGUAACUUCGGGAGAAGGCACGCUGACACGUAGGUGAAGUGAUUUACUCAUGGAGCUGAAGUCAGUCGAAGAUACCAGCUGGCUGCAACUGUUUAUUAAAAACACAGCACUGUGCAAACACGAAAGUGGACGUAUACGGUGUGACGCCUGCCCGGUGCCGGAAGGUUAAUUGAUGGGGUCAGCGCAAGCGAAGCUCCUGAUCGAAGCCCCGGUAAACGGCGGCCGUAACUAUAACGGUCCUAAGGUAGCGAAAUUCCUUGUCGGGUAAGUUCCGACCUGCACGAAUGGCGUAAUGAUGGCCAGGCUGUCUCCACCCGAGACUCAGUGAAAUUGAACUCGCUGUGAAGAUGCAGUGUACCCGCGGCAAGACGGAAAGACCCCGUGAACCUUUACUAUAGCUUGACACUGAACAUUGAGCCUUGAUGUGUAGGAUAGGUGGGAGGCUUUGAAGUGUGGACGCCAGUCUGCAUGGAGCCGACCUUGAAAUACCACCCUUUAAUGUUUGAUGUUCUAACGUGGACCCGUUACCCGGGUUGCGGACAGUGUCUGGUGGGUAGUUUGACUGGGGCGGUCUCCUCCUAAAGAGUAACGGAGGAGCACGAAGGUUGGCUAAUCCUGGUCGGACAUCAGGAGGUUAGUGCAAUGGCAUAAGCCAGCUUGACUGCGAGCGUGACGGCGCGAGCAGGUGCGAAAGCAGGUCAUAGUGAUCCGGUGGUUCUGAAUGGAAGGGCCAUCGCUCAACGGAUAAAAGGUACUCCGGGGAUAACAGGCUGAUACCGCCCAAGAGUUCAUAUCGACGGCGGUGUUUGGCACCUCGAUGUCGGCUCAUCACAUCCUGGGGCUGAAGUAGGUCCCAAGGGUAUGGCUGUUCGCCAUUUAAAGUGGUACGCGAGCUGGGUUUAGAACGUCGUGAGACAGUUCGGUCCCUAUCUGCCGUGGGCGCUGGAGAACUGAGGGGGGCUGCUCCUAGUACGAGAGGACCGGAGUGGACGCAUCACUGGUGUUCGGGUUGUCAUGCCAAUGGCACUGCCCGGUAGCUAAAUGCGGAAGAGAUAAGUGCUGAAAGCAUCUAAGCACGAAACUUGCCCCGAGAUGAGUUCUCCCUGAGACUUAGAGUCUCCUGAAGGAACGUUGAAGACGACGACGUUGAUAGGCCGGGUGUGUAAGCGCAGCGAUGCGUUGAGCUAACCGGUACUAAUGAACCGUGAGGCUUAACCUU
Molecule: ribosomal RNA, 3090 nt
Filed under: Salmonella enterica subsp. enterica serovar Weltevreden
Lineage: Bacteria; Pseudomonadati; Pseudomonadota; Gammaproteobacteria; Enterobacterales; Enterobacteriaceae
Description: bacterial LSU rRNA
Rfam family: Bacterial large subunit ribosomal RNA
Source: RNAcentral